UACGGAGGGUGCAAGCGUUAUCCGGAUUCACUGGGUUUAAAGGGUGCGUAGGUGGGUUGGUAAGUCAGUGGUGAAAUCUCCGGGCUUAACUCGGAAACUGCCGUUGAUACUAUCAAUCUUGAAUCUCGUGGAGGUAAGCGGAAUAUGUCAUGUAGCGGUGAAAUGCUUAGAUAUGACAUAGAACACCGAUAGCGAAGGCAGCUUGCUACACGAGUAUUGACACUGAGGCACGAAAGCGUGGGGGUCAAACAGG
This 253-nucleotide ribosomal RNA is filed under the name uncultured bacterium. Its description in RNAcentral is "partial 16S ribosomal RNA". It matches the Rfam family "Bacterial small subunit ribosomal RNA", at positions 524 to 776 of the family's 1533-position model. The record is from RNAcentral.